CGCCCGGGUCAGCCCCUCGCCCGGCCUGAGGCGCCGCCGCUCCGCGUAAAUGGCGGGGUUCCCGCGCCCGGGCGGAGGUCCGCAUGACUCCGGGUCUUGGGGGUGGUGGUCAGAGUUGGCGGUGCGGAUUUUGGUUGGUGUUUCUAGCCCUGUACUUCUACCUCCCCAGACCCCAGCAUAAGACAUUCUCAUAUUUGGCCAUUUUUUUCCUUGUGGUCGGGGUGACCCUUAUAAAGCACUGCCUUUAUCAAUCAUGUGAUGGAAUAGCGACACUGAGGCAGCUAGUUAGUUUUAUAUGGUUCCUAGUGGAACAACAUCCACUUUCCAUGCCUGGCUGGCCUAGGCUCCCAGACAGUGGGUGAAACCUCUGGCCAGGAUAAGGUGUAUGAACUAAAAUGCUCACCCCCCCCCCCCACGGGCUGACUGAACCCCCUCCUGGCUAAAUGAAUAUCCUACAGCAAAAUUUCCUGGCAGGAGGAGGGAGGUCAGACAUGCCCCCCUCCCUUCUUGGAGACUUCCUUUGUAACCCAUUAAUAGGCCUAAGCGUUUGCAAGACAAACCUGCAGGUCCUCAAUUUAUGGAACAAAUGAUGGCAACAAAUGGUGGCUUAUCUCUGGUAAACAGUUUCUGUUAAAACAUUCCAAGCCUUUAGACAAAGCUUCAUGUCUUUAGCCAAUUACAAUCUGAAGAAUCUUUAAACUCACCUAUAACCUGUAAGCCCCCUCCCCCCCUUCCAGAUGCCCACCUUUUGGGGCCAAACCAAUGUAUGCCUGCCACGUAUUGGCUUUACCCCUAACCCCUGUCUCUAAAACGUAUAAAAACCAAACUAUAACCCACCCACUGAGGAGUUCACUUGCCCAGGGCCUCUUGGCAGUAGCUCCAGGUCAUGGUCCUCAAAUUUGGCUCAGAAUAAAUCUCUUUAAAAUUAUUUUGCAGAGUUUGGCUUUUUUUCCAUUGACAGGUGAGAGGCUAUACCAGGAAGAAUGACUUUGAAAAUUAAAGCAUUAGUUGAAAGGAGGAGUGUUCCGUCUCUUCUCCACAGAGCUCUGCAAGAACAGCCUAGAACCAGCAUGGAAAGACCUUCUGCUGCCAUGAACACCUGUGCAUUUCUGAUGGCAUUUGCCUGCUCCAAUAGGACUCUGCUGAUUGACAGCCUAGUGGAGCUCACAAGAGGCCUGCAGAGGCAGGAGCAGCAUCUUUUUCUCUUCAAUGAUCUGCUUGUUGUGGCCAAAAGCAAGUACAACAAUAAGUUUAAGUUGAAAAACAAGAUUAAAUUAUCUGACAUGUGGACAGCAAGCUGUGUCGAUGAACUGGGAGAUGGUAAGAGCAGUGCUAUGAAAUCCUUUGUCUUGGGCUGGCCCACUCAGAACUUUGUGGCCACUUUCAGUUCUCCAGAACAAAAGGACACAUGGCUGUCUCUCCUUCAGAGAUACAUUGAUCUCGAGAAACAGAAGGACUAUCUGAAGAGCAUUCCCCUCAAAAUAUUCACCGAAGAUAUGGGGAAUUGUGUCCAUGGUUGUGAGAGAGAUUACCAGUUAUGCAUCAAUUCUGGGAAAAAAGCAGUACUGUACCCACUAAUUGAUUCACAUUGGAAGACAUCUGAAAAGGACAACUUACUUGUGUUACUGCCAACAUCUCCUCCUGUGGCAGGAGAGCUCCUUGGACUUUCUUUGGAAAAUACCUCUGAGAACGACACACAUGAGGUUGUUGAUGCCCCAUGUGUCAAUACAGGAAAGACAGUUGCCCAGGGAAGCAGAAACAUGGCCUCUAUUUUAAAGUUCACUGAUGACAUCCUCAAGCUACAGAGGUGCAGGAUGUUUUAA
Long non-coding RNA from Microcebus murinus (gray mouse lemur), 1823 nucleotides. The record is from Ensembl. NCBI's taxonomy places the organism in Eukaryota, Metazoa, Chordata, Mammalia, Primates, Cheirogaleidae.